This is a long non-coding RNA of Rhineura floridana, 1441 nucleotides long. RefSeq lists it as uncharacterized. The record is from RefSeq and is a predicted model, not a curated record. The transcript has 3 exons. NCBI's taxonomy places the organism in Eukaryota, Metazoa, Chordata, Lepidosauria, Squamata, Rhineuridae.
GUUCACAUUUUGAGGUCUGUAUGUAAUUGAUCUUUCUACCCUACAAGAGAAACACUGCAAUAAGUUGGUUGCAGCUCCACAUUAUAGUAUAGAGAAAUAAUAAUGAUGUCACCUUGAGAUUCAAAGAUCGUGGAAUAGUAAUAGUCUCCUAGCUCAUUCUCCCAACUGCAAUGACCUCUCCAGUACUAAAUCUUAACAGUCUCAGCAUUAUUUUUGAAUUAUUCAUGCUAGCCUUUUCCCUCACUACAAAAUCAAGGAAAAUGAAUGCAUCAUGCUCGAUCAACUCCACAGGUGCCCACACUUCAAUUAAAGCCAGCUGACGACAUCCUGAGAUGACCAUGGGGCUUUUUCAGGAUGAGAGAAGCUACUGGAAGCAUACAUACACACACCACUUGGCCACUUCACAACAAUAGGAUUUAAAAGGAUCACUUUUGCUGUGAUGAUAUUUUUGAGGAGAAAAAGGCACCCACAUGUUGAAAAGAACGACAAGAGCACUAAAACCUCACUGGUUUAGCCUAAUUGAACAACAAACAGGACUGCCUUUAUGGCAAUUCUCAGUGCUAUUAACAUAUAUAGCAGAAUAUCCCAGCAGGUGGAAGGAAGUAUUUUGCAAACAGACUAGAAAGAACUGUUAGAUUAGGAUGAACCAAGAAACUGAGCGUGAUUAGGGCAUGCUUCCCUGUUAUUAUCGCUGCAAAAUUAGGUCAAUUAUAUUUUCACCUCCUCUAAUCUUCUGUUUGCAUCAUGAUCCUGUUCCAGACAAAAUUAAAAAAGGAGUUUUACAACUGACUUGAAUGAGACACACACUGGGCGUUGUCAGUGUUUGUGAUAUAUCAUUAAACCAUAGUUUAAGAAGCAAACAAAAACAAUGGAAAAAAGCAAUAUAUUUACAUAUUAAUGUUGGCAAAUAUUUUAAUUAUGAUGAACAUAAAUAUUACAGAGGCUCAAAACCAUCAGAAUUACAGUAUGAUUGACUUUAAUAUACUUUGAUGUAGCAUAGCCACAGCCACAAUUCUGCCCACAGUUAGGCUGCUUAAAUUUCACUGAUCUUAAAAGGGAUUUAAGCAGUUUAAUUGCAUGCAGGAUUGCAAGCAGCAUCUUGAAAUAGUGCAGAGUCACUCACUAGCAAUAUGUUGUGUGUGAUAUAUUUUCCUUUCUGGUGAGACAUGAACAUGAAAGAGAACCUCUAUCAGUUUAUACAGAAGCAAUGUCUGAGUUUGCUCCAAAUAUCAGUGGUCUGAGAUAGCAUUGUGACUCUCAUUUGUCUCAGGAAGUCUGCCUUGGCAGUGUGAACUGUCCAGAUCCAUACAGCAAUCUUGAAUUGGCAGCAAGAUGGGCUAGAUGACCUAAUAGUGGUUGUUUCAUCUUUUGCUUUCAUGGUUUUAUGAUGUCUACAAUUUAUGGCUCCAAGUGACCAGAGAGCAUUUCAAAGUGUCUUGAG